RNAcentral lists this ribosomal RNA (427 nucleotides) under uncultured bacterium. RNAcentral's name for it is "bacterial SSU rRNA". It matches the Rfam family "Bacterial small subunit ribosomal RNA", at positions 355 to 774 of the family's 1533-position model. The record is from RNAcentral.
UGGGGAAUAUUGCACAAUGGGGGAAACCCUGAUGCAGCCAUGCCGCGUGUGUGAAGAAGGCCUUCGGGUUGUAAAGCACUUUCAGCGGGGAGGAAGGGGAGCAAGCUAAUACCUUGUUUCAUUGACGUUACCCGCAGAAGAAGCACCGGCUAACUCCGUGCCAGCAGCCGCGGUAAUACGGAGGGUGCAAGCGUUAAUCGGAAUUACUGGGCGUAAAGCGCACGCAGGCGGUUGGAUAAGCUAGAUGUGAAAGCCCCGGGCUCAACCUGGGAAUAGCAUUUAGAACUGUCCGACUAGAGUCUUGUAGAGGGGGGUAGAAUUCCAGGUGUAGCGGUGAAAUGCGUAGAGAUCUGGAGGAAUACCGGUGGCGAAGGCGGCCCCCUGGACAAAGACUGACGCUCAGGUGCGAAAGCGUGGGGAGCAAACA